This 253-nucleotide ribosomal RNA is filed under the name uncultured bacterium. Its description in RNAcentral is "partial 16S ribosomal RNA". It matches the Rfam family "Bacterial small subunit ribosomal RNA", at positions 524 to 776 of the family's 1533-position model. The record is from RNAcentral.
UACAGAGGGGGCAAGCGUUAAUCGGAAUUACUGGGCGUAAAGCGUGCGUAGGCGGUUACAUAAGUCGGGUGUGAAAGCCCCGGGCUCAACCUGGGAAUUGCAUUCGAGACUGCGUAGCUAGGGUGCGGAAGAGGGAAGCGGAAUUUCCGGUGUAGCGGUGAAAUGCGUAGAUAUCGGAAGGAACACCAGUGGCGAAAGCGGCUUCCUGGUCCAGCACCGACGUUCAGGCACGAAAGCGUGGGGAGCAAACAGG